Molecule: signal recognition particle RNA, 97 nt
Filed under: Synechococcaceae bacterium WB8_1B_136
Lineage: Bacteria; Bacillati; Cyanobacteriota; Cyanophyceae; Synechococcales; Synechococcaceae
Description: signal recognition particle sRNA small type
Rfam family: Bacterial small signal recognition particle RNA
About the family: The signal recognition particle (SRP) is a universally conserved ribonucleoprotein involved in the co-translational targeting of proteins to membranes. Archaeal SRP consists of a 7S RNA and homologues of the eukaryotic SRP19 and SRP54 proteins.
Source: RNAcentral
GACUCGGACCCACGCGGCCCGGACGCCUAAAUCUGGUCAGGACCGGAAGGGAGCAGCCACACGGGAUGCUCCGAGCAGGCGUGGACUCCGGGUCACC